RNAcentral lists this long non-coding RNA (223 nucleotides) under Brassica rapa (field mustard). Its description in RNAcentral is "long non-coding RNA (BRAP_LNC004126)". Lineage: Eukaryota; Viridiplantae; Streptophyta; Magnoliopsida; Brassicales; Brassicaceae. The record is from RNAcentral.
UCUGGACGACUGAAAUAUACGUCGUCUGGACGACUGAAAUAUACGUCGUCCGUGUAAAUUAUUCAACAGACGACUGAAAUAUAAGUCGUCCACACCCUAAACAUAACCCCUAAACUUAUUUAUCUAAUUAAACACUUCAUAAAAUCAAAUCAAACUUGAAAAGUGUUUACUAUACACAGAAAUAAACACAUAUUGGUGAAAACUAAUUUUUGAAAAAAACAUU